RNAcentral lists this ribosomal RNA (712 nucleotides) under uncultured soil bacterium. RNAcentral describes it as "bacterial SSU rRNA". It matches the Rfam family "Bacterial small subunit ribosomal RNA", at positions 56 to 761 of the family's 1533-position model. The record is from RNAcentral.
UGCAAGUCGAACGGCAGCACGGGAGCAAUCCUGGUGGCGAGUGGCGAACGGGUGAGUAAUAUAUCGGAACGUGCCCAGUCGUGGGGGAUAACGCAGCGAAAGCUGUGCUAAUACCGCAUACGAUCUCUGGAUGAAAGCGGGGGACUCGCAAGAGCCUCGCGCGAUUGGAGCGGCCGAUAUCAGAUUAGCUAGUUGGCGGGGUAAAGGCCCACCAAGGCGACGAUCUGUAGCUGGUCUGAGAGGACGACCAGCCACACUGGAACUGAGACACGGUCCAGACUCCUACGGGAGGCAGCAGUGGGGAAUUUUGGACAAUGGGCGAAAGCCUGAUCCAGCAAUGCCGCGUGCAGGAUGAAGGCCUUCGGGUUGCAAACUGCUUUUGUACGGAACGAAACGGUCUCUCUUAAUACGGGGGGCUAAUGACGGUACCGUAAGAAUAAGCACCGGCUAACUACGUGCCAGCAGCCGCGGUAAUACGUAGGGUGCGAGCGUUAAUCGGAAUUACUGGGCGUAAAGCGUGCGCAGGCGGUUAUAUAAGACAGAUGUGAAAUCCCCGGGCUCAACCUGGGACCUGCAUUUGUGACUGUAUAGCUAGAGUACGGUAGAGGGGGAUGGAAUUCCGCGUGUAGCAGUGAAAUGCGUAGAUAUGCGGAGGAACACCGAUGGCGAAGGCAAUCCCCUGGACCUGUACUGACGCUCAUGCACGAAAGCG